CCCUUAGAUGUCCUGGGCCGCACGCGCGCCACACUGAUGCAUGCAACGAGUUUAUAACCUUGGCCUGAAAGGUCUGGGUAAUCUUUUGAACGUGCAUCGUGAUAGGGAUAGAUUAUUGCAAUUGUUAAUCUUGAACGAGGAAUUCCUAGUAAACGCGAGUCAUCAGCUCGCAUUGAUUACGUCCCUGCCCUUUGUACACACCGCCCGUCGCACCUACCGAUUGAACGGUUCGGUGAAGAUCUCGGACUUCGAUAUUUAUUCUUUAUUGAGUUUAUAUUGUGGGAAGUUAUCUAAACCUCAUCAUUUAGAGGAAGGUGAAGUCGUAACA
This 328-nucleotide ribosomal RNA is filed under the name uncultured eukaryote. RNAcentral's name for it is "partial 18S ribosomal RNA". It matches the Rfam family "Eukaryotic small subunit ribosomal RNA", at positions 1470 to 1796 of the family's 1831-position model. The record is from RNAcentral.